Molecule: RNA transcript, 1288 nt
Organism: Helianthus annuus (common sunflower)
Lineage: Eukaryota; Viridiplantae; Streptophyta; Magnoliopsida; Asterales; Asteraceae
Gene name: PRA1 family protein H
Exons: 5
Source: RefSeq, a predicted model, not a curated record
AACCAUAAAAUAUUAUUCUUUAGGUCAUCCACAAACCCACCCAAACCAAGAAGCUACCAACAAAAAUGGCGUUCUCUGCAAAUCCGCUGGCUCUCAGCGUUCCAGACCCUACCUUCGAGUCCUGGCUCCGAGACAGCGGUUACCUAGAGGUUCUCGACCAACGCACCUCCGAUCUCCACCGUAUCUCCACCACAACCACCGCCACCGCCACCAGUUCCAACUCCGCAACCGCCGAUCCGCCGCCCGUCGCUACUGCCGUUAGCAGCGGCUUUUUCCUCUUGAACGUUCUCAACCACAUCGGAAUUCUACUCUCUUUGAUAACAAUUAAUCCUUUCUCCAAACUCACUAACGAAGAUUUUGCACGUGAUACGCCACCGUGGACCCUAGGGUUUGUUGGAUCGUUUGAUUCGUAUAGUUUUCCGUCUUCUCGGUCGCAAGCGCGUAUGAGAGUUACGGAGAAUAAUAAGAGAUAUUGCCGGAAUUAUUUUACUCUGUUUAUCGUCUUCUUCGCCUGCUCUCUGUAUCAAAUACCGAUCGCUCUUGCUGGUUUGGUAUCCAGUUUGGCACUUUGGGAUCUGUUUGCAUACUGCAGUAAACGUUGGGGGUUAGAUAAUCAUCCCGUUACUCGAGAAUGUUUGCUUCGGUUGUUACAAUGCGCCACUGCAGUUGUUAUAUUCGUGUGCAAUGUUCAAACAGCGAUCAUAUACGCUCUUGCAGUUAGCUAUGCAGUGAUGAUGCUGCAUGCCUCGUUCCGGAAGCUGACUCCUAUCAAGCAACCUACUAAAGGGAAACCGAAGUAGAAAUUUUUGCAAAGAACUGGGCUCUUCGGUGAUAUAACGUAGGGGUGAACCGCGGGUUCGUGUAAGCAGAGUUAAUUAAGACAGACAGGUAUGUGAAGUGCAAAAUAUCACCAAACUUCAAGUUAUUAUCAGACAUUUACUUCCGCCAACCAUCCAAGGUGUAACGUGGCCCAUUGUUUAACUCCGUCUUCACAGCAUAAACAUUCACAACUCCAAUCAUAUUUUGAACUGUCAAGGGAUGCAGAUUGACACAAAGACCUGCUCGCCUAACAACUUCAACAGGAAGACGCUACAUAUAUUGUGUGAAACAAAAUAAUAGUGAAUGACAAAUAAACAUAAAUCGUUAGUUUGUUAUAAAAAAUGGUAUACUAGUCUAUAGUCUCCUUUCCGAACAAAGUGAAAGAACUCAGGGUCAAGAAGAUCAACAGAACGUUUUUUUUUUUGAACUCUUUCUACUCUUAUUUGUAUGGUUACAAUUUUUGUGAACA